CCAGCCCGGGCUCUUGCCACCAAGCCCCAAUGCUUCUCUCUGGAGAUCGGGGCGGGUCGAGAAGUUAGAGCUGAACUCUACUAGUUUUUCCUACAUCAUUUGAGGUCAACUUGCCUCUCGGUCUCAGGGAUGCUGGCGACCCGAUCCUGAUCUAAAUUUAGGCGCAGGGCGCUGGAAUAACGGCAGAUCAGAACCAAAGGUUUCCCCCGUCCAGCAGGGCUUUCCUGCCAAGCCGAGGAAGAGGCCGGAUCGACAUUAGCAAAGCGAAGGGCAGAACCGAAGCGAUGAUUCAGGUCUUUCGAGAACAAAAGAAACCAACCCAUUA
This is a long non-coding RNA of Ornithorhynchus anatinus (platypus), 325 nucleotides long. RefSeq lists it as uncharacterized. The record is from RefSeq and is a predicted model, not a curated record. The transcript is spliced from 2 exons. NCBI's taxonomy places the organism in Eukaryota, Metazoa, Chordata, Mammalia, Monotremata, Ornithorhynchidae.